This 576-nucleotide ribosomal RNA is filed under the name uncultured fungus. RNAcentral's name for it is "SSU rRNA". It matches the Rfam family "Eukaryotic small subunit ribosomal RNA", at positions 1231 to 1831 of the family's 1831-position model. Lineage: Eukaryota; Fungi. The record is from RNAcentral.
CAAUAAGGAUUGACAGAUUGAGAGCUCUUUCUUGAUUUUGUGGGUGGUGGUGCAUGGCCGUUCUUAGUUGGUGGGGUGACUUGUCUGCUUAAUUGCGAUAACGAACGAGACCUUAACCUGCUAAAUAGCCCGGCAUUGCUCCGGCAGUGCGCUGGCUUCUUAGAGGGACUUUCGGCUCAAGCCGAAGGAAGUUUGAGGCAAUAACAGGUCUGUGAUGCCCUUAGAUGUUCUGGGCCGCACGCGCGCUACACUGACGGGGUCAGCGAGUUCCUUGGCCGAAAGGCCCGGGUAAUCUNGUUAGCCCCCGUCGUGCUGGGGAUAGAACAUNGCANUNAUUGCUCUUCAACGAGGAAUCCCUAGUAAGCGCAAGUCAUCAUGCUUGCGUUGAUUACGUCCCUGCCCUUUGUACACACCGCCCGUCGCUACUACCGAUUGAAUGGCUCAGUGAGGCGUCCGGACUGGCCCAGGGAGGUGGGCAACUACCACCCAGGGCCGGAAAGUUCUCCAAACUCGGUCAUUUAGAGGAAGUAAAGUCGUAACAAGGUCUCCGUUGGUGAACCAGCGGAGGGAUCAUUA